UGAAUCUCAGUAGCACUGACAGAGCCAAAAGAGCUUGUUCUAGCCUAUCUCCCAAACAGGGUAGGCAAGACAAAAGGACUCUCCAAGCCCUCUACUUCCUCAAGAAGAUUGGCUUGACUGAGGAUGACAAGUACAGACUGGUCCAAGUGAACUGACCAGUCACAUCACUUGAGAUGGAUGGAUCAAACCACUGUGUCACCUUGAUGAUGGGAUAGAGGACAUGGUCAUUGGUAGCCAUUCAACUUUACUCAACUACUUGGGCUUAAAUCCCAGGAAAACCUCCACAGUUGCCAUAGAAAUUCACCAUCUUCCAUAUCUUCAGUGUGAUUUCAAUGUACAGUGUUAUGUGUAUGGGCACACUAUAUCCCAAUGAUUACAGAGACUGCCAGAUGACUGUCUUCUUUCCCUGUAUAGUUUUCAAGCAGCUGAUCAGCAAUGGCUACAGUCAAAAUCUUGAUAAAGCAAAAAAUGUCAGCCCUCCCUAUAUAAAGUAAAAAGUUCAAUCCAUAUUGGAAGCCUACAAUUCUACAGAGCCCUUCUGGAAACCUUUAUAUACGAGGGCUAUGUGAAGCUUCAGGUGCUGAUUUGAUUUGGA
Long non-coding RNA from Gavialis gangeticus (Gharial), 595 nucleotides. RefSeq lists it as uncharacterized. The transcript is spliced from 3 exons. Lineage: Eukaryota; Metazoa; Chordata; Crocodylia; Gavialidae. The record is from RefSeq and is a predicted model, not a curated record.